RNAcentral lists this transfer RNA (65 nucleotides) under Erinaceus europaeus (western European hedgehog). It matches the Rfam family "tRNA". From Rfam's summary of the family: Transfer RNA (tRNA) molecules are approximately 80 nucleotides in length. Lineage: Eukaryota; Metazoa; Chordata; Mammalia; Eulipotyphla; Erinaceidae. The record is from Rfam by way of RNAcentral.
GGCGCUGUGGCCAAGGCACUAGACUUUCAAGCAUGAAGUCCUGAGUUCAAUCCCCAGCAGCACCA